CCUACGGGUGGCAGCAGUGGGGAAUAUUGCACAAUGGGGGAAACCCUGAUGCAGCGACGCCGCGUGAGUGAAGAAGUAAUUCGUUAUGUAAAGCUCUAUCAGCAGGGAAGAAAAUGACGGUACCUUAGUAAGAAUACCCGGCUAACUACGUGCCAGCAGCCGCGGUAGGACGUAGGGGGCCAGCGUUAUCCGGAUUUACUGGGUGUAAAGGGAGCGUAGGCGGUUUUGCAAGUCAGAAGUGAAAGCCCGGGGCUCAACUCCGGGACUGCUUUUGAUACUGUUGAACUAGAUUGCAGGAGAGGUAAGUGGAAUGCGUGGUGUAGCGGUGAAAUGCGUAGAUAUUAGGAGGAACACCAGUGGCGAAGGCGGCUUACUGGACUGUAAAUGACGCUGAGGCUCGAAAGCGUGGGGAGCAAACAGGAUUAGAUACCCGGGUAGUC
This 440-nucleotide ribosomal RNA is filed under the name uncultured bacterium. Its description in RNAcentral is "partial 16S ribosomal RNA". It matches the Rfam family "Bacterial small subunit ribosomal RNA", at positions 338 to 795 of the family's 1533-position model. The record is from RNAcentral.